This 351-nucleotide ribosomal RNA is filed under the name uncultured Rhizobiaceae bacterium. Its description in RNAcentral is "bacterial SSU rRNA". It matches the Rfam family "Bacterial small subunit ribosomal RNA", at positions 1036 to 1382 of the family's 1533-position model. The record is from RNAcentral. Lineage: Bacteria; Pseudomonadati; Pseudomonadota; Alphaproteobacteria; Hyphomicrobiales; Rhizobiaceae.
AGGUGCUGCAUGGCUGUCGUCAGCUCGUGUCGUGAGAUGGUUGGGUUAACGUCCCGCAACGAGCGCAACCCUCGCCCUUAGUUGCCAGCUAUUUAGGUUGGGCACUCGUAAGGGGACUGCCGGUGAUAAGCCGAGAGGAAGGUGGGGAUGACGUCAAGUCCUCAUGGCCCUUACGGGCUGGGCUACACACGUGCUACAAUGGUGGUGACAGUGGGCAGCGAGCACGCGAGUGUGAGCUAAUCUCCAAAAGCCAUCUCAGUUCGGAUUGAAGUCUGCAACUCGACUUCAUGAAGCUGGAAUCGCUAGUAAUCGCAGAUCAGCCAAGCUGCGGUGAAUACGUUCCCGGGCCUU